ACUCAUAAACAAAAUCCUAUACUACACAACAAACUCACAAACAAAGCUCUAUUUUGCAAAAAAAAAAAUAAAAAUGAAAACCUUCACAUAAAUUCCAGAAUAUCUCCCCAUCCACGCUUCACUCUUAUACUUUAAAGAUCGUACAUAACACAUGACAAAGUGGUAAUUAUUUUUCGCUAAAAACUCUUUGUUUGUUAGUUAAGUUUAGAUUCAAUUUCUUUUAUAUUGGAGUAAUGUCUUUUUUUCCCUUUAUAGUUGCUGCCACAAAGUGUAACCCAAUACUUCCUCCCCACCCACCCUGACGGAUAUACACAUCCGUCGUUUUGGUGAUCAUGUACAUUUAGCUCAAGUCGAUUCCUGCGGCAUUAGGAACUGGCCGAGAAUAUAUAACGGAUGGAGAGAUUUCAUUCGUACUUAAUAUUUUCGAAAAGGUGACGUUUUAGACAUAUUAAUUAUUCACAAUAGUCAAGACUGAUUCACAGUCGUAAAGACUCUGUACAGAUUGUUAUUUCAAAUGAUGAUCCCUACAUCCGUUUUUUUAUAGAUAUGGGAGUAGUUUUGUAAGUUUAAUGCUUGGAUAAUUGAUUUGAAUGUCUUCUUUUUAUCUAGUUCACAUCUUUAUUUUGUUUAUCUUUACUUUUCAGUGCAUUCUAUCUAUUUUUUCUUUUUGUGCACAAAAUUAAUAGGAAAAUAACAAAGUAACUUGAAUGAUACAGUAAUAUAGAUGAGUGAUGAGUGUAAAACAGGUAAGAUUGAUUCUAACAAUUAAGGGUGUAAAUAGUUCAAGUUGGUUCGAUUUUUAUUUAAAAAAAUAAUCAAACCAAUCAUGUCG
Molecule: long non-coding RNA, 832 nt
Filed under: Capsicum annuum
Lineage: Eukaryota; Viridiplantae; Streptophyta; Magnoliopsida; Solanales; Solanaceae
Description: long non-coding RNA (CANN_LNC015376)
Source: RNAcentral